RNAcentral lists this long non-coding RNA (1162 nucleotides) under Equus caballus (horse). RNAcentral describes it as "lncRNA (ENSECAG00000029590.3)". The record is from RNAcentral. Lineage: Eukaryota; Metazoa; Chordata; Mammalia; Perissodactyla; Equidae.
GGCACAGGUCCAAAGGAUUGCUAUGGCUAAAGGCUGACCAAAGACCAGAGCAAAGAAGAAGGAUGACAAAAUGCAAGAAGUGUUUGAGAGGUGUUGUGGUCCAGUGACGUCGAUUUAAAGCCACGCUGUAAUUGAUGUGCUUCAUGAUCUUGGGAAAAAUCAUUUAAAUUCCAUAUCUUCAGUAUUAUUGUCUAUCAUUGUGCCUGCUCAGAUGACCAGGGGCUCCUCCUGCAUGGCCACUAUGAAUUACACUUUCUUUCUUGCAUGCUGCCCGGCACAAGGCCCUGCGUAUGUAGAUCAGACUGUUUGGGAAGCAAAGGGGAGAAGUGAGGAUGUUACUUGUCUUGGAAAGAGCCUGCACCAGCAGAGCAGAGGCCAAGCUGUACCUGACAAAUGUGCUAUAGUCUCAGCACUGGAUCUAGGACAGGGGAAAAUGGCUGCUCCGUUUUCGAGAUCCGUCUGGGCAGCUGACUUUGCAGAUGGGAUCUACUGGUUGCAUUUCUAAGCUUGAGAGAUCAUCUUCUCUUUACCUUGAAGGUGUUGGAACCAGUGUUUAAAUUGUGAAAGAUCAUUGCUUCAAGAUGCUGGGACGGCUCUGACAACGAAGAAGGAAAGGCUCAUUUCCUUAUCUAUAAAACAACUCGAUCUUCUGGACUUCAAAGGACUGUUGGUAUCUCGAAUAAGACAAGAAACAUGAGAGUACAUUGUGAAUGACUAUACAAAUGUAAGCUCCGAAUGGAAGUUUCCUGGGAAACCUUUCCUGUGAAUGGAAUGUAUGAGGUUUGUCCCAUGACAGACAAAUAAAAAACACAAGAAACUACAACAGAAAACUUCUUCCCCUGAAAUAUUGCAGUCAGGAGCAGAUAACACCUAUCUUUUUUCAAGGACAUGUAGAGAUUCCAACCCUCUGGUGUUCAGUGACACUAAGAAUGUUAUUCCCUCAAUUUAACAGCAGAGCUUCUUUUCUUACUGAUAAAAAAAUUUAAAAAGGGUUUAAAUUACUUAAGUAAAAAGAACUAUGGUGGGGCCUUCUCAGUCAUAGAUAAGCAUCAGCUCUUGCUGAUCUGCUGUAUUGUCAGCAAAGUAAUGGCUCAGUUUGUGUAUUGUUCUCCUUGUGCCAAACAGAAGGGAGAGUAAACCUUAUCCACAGGCUCCUGUUACC